UUGACGGCCACACACACUCAUACGCACACAGAGGGAGAGAGAGGAGUAGAUAGUAUAGUUCUCACUCGGAGUUGUAUCCAGACCAGACCACUGCUUCUCUUAUACCUGGACCAUCCUGUAUCACUCACCUGCCAUAGUUGUGCAGAAUGACUGAAGAAACUCCGGAAGCCUUUCAGCAUGUCAGCAGGAAGUCUGGCCUACAGAUCUGGACCAUCAAUAACAUGAAGAUGGUUCUGUACCGGACCAAGCUUUCGGGACUUCUUUGAGGGAUUGCU
Salvelinus sp. IW2-2015 is the source of this 275-nucleotide long non-coding RNA. RefSeq lists it as uncharacterized. Lineage: Eukaryota; Metazoa; Chordata; Actinopteri; Salmoniformes; Salmonidae. The record is from RefSeq and is a predicted model, not a curated record.